Molecule: ribosomal RNA, 563 nt
Filed under: Pichia manshurica
Lineage: Eukaryota; Fungi; Ascomycota; Pichiomycetes; Pichiales; Pichiaceae
Description: eukaryotic LSU rRNA
Rfam family: Eukaryotic large subunit ribosomal RNA
Source: RNAcentral
ACACUCCAUGCCCAGUAGCGGCGAGUGAAGCGGCAAGAGCUCAGAUUUGAAAUCGUGUUUCGGCACGAGUUGUAGAGUGUAGGCGGGAGUCUCUGUGGAGCGCGGUGUCCAAGUCCCUUGGAACAGGGUGCCUGAGAGGGUGAGAGCCCCGUAGGGUGCUGCGCGAAGCUUUUGAGGCCCUGCUGACGAGUCGAGUUGUUUGGGAAUGCAGCUCCAAGCGGGUGGUAAAUUCCAUCUAAGGCUAAAUAUUGGCGAGAGACCGAUAGCGAACAAGUACUGUGAAGGAAAGAUGAAAAGCACUUUGAAAAGAGAGUGAAACAGCACGUGAAAUUGUUGAAAGGGAAGGGUAUUGGGCUCGACAUGGGGGGUGCGCACCGCUGUCUCUUGUAGGCGGCGCUCUGGGCGCCCUCUGGGCCAGCAUCGGUUCCUGCUGCGGGAGAAGGGGCUCCGGAAAGUGGCUCUUCGGAGUGUUAUAGCCGGGGCCAGAUGCCGCGUGUGGGGACCGAGGACUGCGGCUUCUGUCUCGGAUGCUGGCAUAACGGCGCAAUACCGCCCGUCUAAAA